CAGCAGCCGCGGUAAUACGAAGGGGGCUAGCGUUGCUCGGAAUUACUGGGCGUAAAGGGCGCGUAGGCGGACAGUUCAGUCGGGGGUGAAAGCCCGGGGCUCAACCUCGGAAUUGCCUUCGAUACUGGCUGUCUUGAGUAUGAGAGAGGUGUGUGGAACUCCGAGUGUAGAGGUGAAAUUCGUAGAUAUUCGGAAGAACACCAGUGGCGAAGGCGACACACUGGCUCAUUACUGACGCUGAGGCGCGAAGGCGUGGGGAGCAAACAGGAUUAGAGACCCCAGUAGUCCCUGUCUCUUAUAC
RNAcentral lists this ribosomal RNA (301 nucleotides) under uncultured bacterium. RNAcentral describes it as "partial 16S ribosomal RNA". It matches the Rfam family "Bacterial small subunit ribosomal RNA", at positions 509 to 807 of the family's 1533-position model. The record is from RNAcentral.